Non-coding RNA from Triticum urartu, 1149 nucleotides. The record is from RefSeq and is a predicted model, not a curated record. NCBI's taxonomy places the organism in Eukaryota, Viridiplantae, Streptophyta, Magnoliopsida, Poales, Poaceae.
AACAAUACGUAUAGGACACGGGAGCACGGGCUCCUCAAUGCGUACGGUAGCGCCGCCGCGCGCCCGUUCCUCUCUGGCGCCGCCGCCGCCCUGCUCUCGUUCCCCUCCCUAUCCAUCUCAAUCUUCUCCGGUGCCACCACGAUCUUCAACCUCCUGCCGCCGUAUGUCUCCGAUUUGGAUCAGAGUCCGUGUUCCCCCAGGAUAAGUGCUGCAACACAAAUCCAUGGCGUGCCCGACCCAGAUUUGAGAGUGAUUUGGCUGCCAUUAGAAGGAGCCCUCAACCGGAAUCUCCAUUAAAUCGCAUCAUAUCGCAAAUUUUGAAGAGUCGUCCAGGAUCGUCUCAGCCGAGUUCGCCAGAAGAAAAUCCGCCGCCCAAGCGUACUACACGUGAGCCCGAAGAACAUCCCCUGCCGAACAUGCUACCCCAGAGCUAAGUGUUCAAGUACAAUCUCUAGCCAAGUUCUCGUUGUUGUUGUGUUGAAUUUUGAGGAAAGGCGGCCAAGCAGCUCGUGGCAUCUAUGUCACGCCUGCUCUGCCGCUGCCUUGACCCGUCGAGGACGUCGCCGGUUGAGCCGCAAGGUUGCAAGAUCAUCGUGGGGCCCAUUGCAUGGGCUCCGAGUAUGCUUGAUUGCCAUGUCGGAGGCGAAGGUGCUAGAGCUUGGUGGCGUGUUUGCAUUUGUGGAUGCAUGAAUAAUUGUCAAGGAGGCCGAAGCCAGCGGUAUUACGGUUGGACUGAAGGAAUUGUAUAACGUAUUCUGAGGCUCCUUGGUGGUGGAGAUCGACUACGCAGUGGGGAAAUGAGCUAGGGGCUGAUUCUGUAAGCAGAUCAUUGCCGUGCCCAAUUAUUGUUGAUAUUAAAUCUGCGCUGAGUAUUUUUUAGGCAUUAUCACAUCAGAACUGUCAAGAGGGACAAACAAGGGACUGGCUCAUGAACCAGCCAAUGACGCUAAAGCUCAUGGAGACCUUGUGGUUGCGUAUGGUGUCCCAGACCAACUCCAUGAUCAGCUCUGGAAGGAAAACAUUGCAGCCUUGAUGUCGGCCUAAGUCUUGAUGUAAUCCUAAAAAAAGAUAUUGCUUGCAGAUAGGUUAUACAUAAACAUGCAUGUUGUAGGUCUGUUAAUUUUAAUUUUGAAUACUGAGAUCUAUUCA